Molecule: ribosomal RNA, 485 nt
Filed under: Fusarium sp. NRRL 20459
Lineage: Eukaryota; Fungi; Ascomycota; Sordariomycetes; Hypocreales; Nectriaceae
Description: eukaryotic LSU rRNA
Rfam family: Eukaryotic large subunit ribosomal RNA
Source: RNAcentral
UGAAAUCUGGCCCUAGGGUCCGAGUUGUAAUUUGUAGAGGAUGCUUUUGGUGCGGUGCCUUCCGAGUGCCCUGGAACGGGACGCCAUAGAGGGUGAGAGCCCCGUCUGGUUGGAUGCCAAUCCUCUGUAAAGCUCCUUCGACGAGUCGAGUAGUUUGGGAAUGCUGCUCUAAAUGGGAGGUAUAUGUCUUCUAAAGCUAAAUACCGGCCAGAGACCGAUAGCGCACAAGUAGAGUGAUCGAAAGAUGAAAAGCACUUUGAAAAGAGAGUUAAAAAGUACGUGAAAUUGUUGAAAGGGAAGCGUUUAUGACCAGACUUGGGCUUGGUCAAUCAUCCGGGGUUCUCCCUGGUGCACUUUUCCAGUCCAGGCCAGCAUCAGUUUGCUCCGGGGGAUAAAGGCCUCGGGAAUGUGGCUCCUCUCGGGGAGUGUUAUAGACCGUUGCGUAAUACCCUGGGGCGGACUGAGGUACGCGCUUCUGCAAGGAU